UUUAAAAUAAGUCUUUUUUAUUUGAUAAAAAACAACUGAAAAAAAAUUGAAUAUAUAUAUAUAUAAUUGAUAAAUUACGUUUAUUGUUUGGCUACAUUUUUAAUUAAACACGUAAUUGUAAAGAUGAAAUAUUUCUCCUGAUUUUUAUAAAAUAUAUAUUUAACUAAAGUGUUUUUGGAAAAACGGUUGCAGUAAAAAAAUAAUUUUCAAAAAGAUUCUAAGUAUUGUAUGGGUUGUUAUAACAAACAUAACCUGUUGACCGAUUGAAAUCAUUUGAAAAAUGAAGAUUCAAAUAUCUUUUUUUGUUGCGUUUAUUUUACUUUCAUCUUUGAUGGCUGUACCUUUUGUGAAUAAAGAAAGCAGUCCUUUAUCUGGAGAAUCUGCAAAGAUUUUGUCCGGCAUUUUACUUUCAGAAAAUUACGCAAGCAAAAGAAAACGAAAAUCUUUAAACAUUAAAAAGGAGCCUAUUUUCGGAUUUGGAUGCCACACAAUCGAAUGUAAGAUGAAAGAGGAACUGCGAAUAAUACUAAUAGAAAAAGAAAAUAAAGAUAAAAGUAAUGAGAUUGACAUCCAAUUUGACAAACAAAGUAAAUUUUUUAAAACACGAGUAGUAUAGAGCGUGCAAAUAAUAAUAUAAAUAACACAAAACAUAUCAACAUGUACCGAAAUCAAUUGUGAAUCGUAUUCUUAAUUUUAUAUACUUUGAAAGUUUUAAACAUAAAAUAACUGACUAAUUUAAAAAAAGGCUUUAUUGUUUAGAAAUAUUUUUUUAAAUUUUUUUAUAAGAUAGCAAAAAAGUUUAAUAUUAAGAUAAUGAAAAGUUUUUUUGGAUGAAAGAGUCACACGGCAGAAAAAUCGAAUAUGAACUCCUGAUCAACUUUCCACGCUUAAAAAAAAUUAUUUUUGGAAGAUUUUGCAAUCAUAUGGACAUUUAAGAUAUUGAAAAAAAAUAUUCAAUUAUUUUUUGACGAAAUAAUUUCGAAAAUCCA
Hydra vulgaris (swiftwater hydra) is the source of this 989-nucleotide long non-coding RNA. RefSeq lists it as uncharacterized. The record is from RefSeq and is a predicted model, not a curated record. NCBI's taxonomy places the organism in Eukaryota, Metazoa, Cnidaria, Hydrozoa, Anthoathecata, Hydridae.